AAAAAAAUGAAAAUUUAGCAGGAAAAUAGGAAAAAUUGUAGAACACUGGAAUCUAUAAUUUUUUUGAUAUUUUUGACAUGUAUUUAAUAGUGUCUGUUGGCUUGGCCUGCUGAAAGUCGACCAAAUAGGCUCUAAUAGAAACAAAUCAAGUGGCAAUGUCCAAUCUACCAACUUCAUGUCGACUUUUAAGUACCUUGAGUUAUUAUUGGAUGACUUAGAGAAGAUGAAGCAGGAUUUCUUAUGGAAAGGGGCUGAGGAAAAACAUAAAUUUCAUCCAAUGUAGUGGGAGGAAGUUUGUAAUCCUAUGGACGAAGGGGUGCCGGGUUAAGAAGUUUGGAUCUUAUGAAUUCAGCACUUCUAGGAAAGUUGAUUUGGAGGUUUGGAGCGGAAGAGGGGAGCCUUUGGAAAGAAGUGGUGGGUAGGAAGUAUGGGGUAGAGGAGGGUUUAUGGAUGAAAUCUUGUUGUAUAAAGCGUCGUCACUUUGGAAAUUGGUGCCUUCGUUGAAUAAUAAAUUUUGGGCAGGGGUGGCUUUUCUUUGGUUUUGGGAAGGAUAUCAGGUUUUGGGAGGAGGAUGAAUGGUUGGGAAAUCAAAAGUUGAGUGAAGUGUUUCCUUGUUUAGCCAGUGUUUUGGUAGAUGUGAAUACAAGGUGGUGCUCAGUGCUUCUCCUUUGUUGGAGAGGAAGUUAUUUGGGCCCCUUUGUAGAAGAAAUUCGAAUGAUGAAGAGGUGGAAGAUUUUGGUUAAACUGCUAGAAAUGUUGAGUGAGGUGCAUCCCUCAAGAUUAGAAAAUGAUUUGAUGGUUCGGGUAAAACAAAAGUCAGAAUGAGGAAUCUGUAGAUCAUCUUUUUAUUCAUUGUGUUUUUGCCAAGUUGAGAGGGUGCUUCUUUUAUCUCUUUGGAAUAGCUUGGGUUUUGGUGAGAUCCAUUUGGGCAUUUUUUUUUUUUUUUCUUAGCCUAGCAAGGUGGAGGCCAUAGGAAAAAUUGGAAAGAGAGUUUGGCAAUUAUGCUUCUUAGCUGGGAUAUGGGCUCUUUGGUUAGAAGGGAACAAUCGCUGUUUCAGGAAUAUUAAGGGUUGAGAAUCUGAUGUCUUCAAUUUGGCAAAACUGAAUGUAAUGGAAUGGGGGCAACAUCAAAUUUUAUAGCCACUGUCCAUUUUCCCCAAUAGUUGGAUAGAUCUGUAAAUUGUGUUUUUCUUUUCUUUUCUAUAAUUUUUUUUUUCUUUUUUGUGUAAUUCUUUAGGCUUCGGCUUCUUUUCAAUAAAUUUCAUCAUCAUUCAUGACAAAAAGAAAA
Magnolia sinica is the source of this 1288-nucleotide long non-coding RNA. RefSeq lists it as uncharacterized. The transcript is spliced from 2 exons. The record is from RefSeq and is a predicted model, not a curated record. Lineage: Eukaryota; Viridiplantae; Streptophyta; Magnoliopsida; Magnoliales; Magnoliaceae.